AGUAACACGUGAGUGACCUGCCUUUUAGACUGGAACAGCUUACCGAAAGGUGAGCUAAUGCCGGAUGAGUUAUAUAAGUGCAUGUUUAUAUAGGAAAAGUUGGGGAGACCUGACGCUGAAAGAUGGACUCGCGUCCCAUUAGCUAGUUGGUAGGGUAAUGGCCUACCAAGGCGACGAUGGGUAGCCGGCCUGAGAGGGUGGCCGGCCACACUGGGACUGAGACACGGCCCAGACUCCUACGGAAGGCAGCAG
This 252-nucleotide ribosomal RNA is filed under the name uncultured bacterium. Its description in RNAcentral is "partial 16S ribosomal RNA". It matches the Rfam family "Bacterial small subunit ribosomal RNA", at positions 109 to 354 of the family's 1533-position model. The record is from RNAcentral.